Molecule: ribosomal RNA, 1173 nt
Filed under: uncultured bacterium
Lineage: Bacteria
Description: bacterial SSU rRNA
Rfam family: Bacterial small subunit ribosomal RNA
Source: RNAcentral
CAGGACGAACGCUGGCGGCGUGCCUAAUACAUGCAAGUCGAACGCACUGACGUCGACAGAAGGUGCUUGCACUGGAAGUUGAUUGACGUGAGUGGCGGACGGGUGAGUAACACGUGGGUAACCUGCCCUUAAGCGGGGGAUAACAUUUGGAAACAGAUGCUAAUACCGCAUAAAAGUUGAGAUCACAUGGUCUUAAUUUGAAAGACGGCCUUUGGCUGUCACUUAAGGAUGGACCCGCGGCGUAUUAGCUAGUUGGUGAGAUAAUAGCCCACCAAGGCGAUGAUACGUAGCCGACCUGAGAGGGUAAUCGGCCACAUUGGGACUGAGACACGGCCCAAACUCCUACGGGAGGCAGCAGUAGGGAAUCUUCCACAAUGGACGAAAGUCUGAUGGAACAACGCCGCGUGAGUGAAGAAGGUUUUCGGAUCGUAAAACUCUGUUGUUGGAGAAGAACAGGGACUAGAGUAACUGUUAGUCCUUUGACGGUAUCCAACCAGAAAGCCACGGCUAACUACGUGCCAGCAGCCGCGGUAAUACGUAGGUGGCAAGCGUUGUCCGGAUUUAUUGGGCGUAAAGCGAGCGCAGGCGGUUUCUUAAGUCUGAUGUGAAAGCCUUCGGCUUAACCGAAGAAGUGCAUCAGAUACUGGGAAACUUGAGUGCAGAAGAGGAAAGUGGAACUCCAUGUGUAGCGGUGAAAUGCGUAGAUAUAUGGAAGAACACCAGUGGCGAAGGCGGCUUUCUGGUCUGUAACUGACGCUGAGGCUCGAAAGUAUGGGGAGCGAACAGGAUUAGAUACCCUGGUAGUCCAUACCGUAAACGAUGAAUGCUAAGUGUUGGAGGGUUUCCGCCCUUCAGUGCUGCAGCUAACGCAUUAAGCAUUCCGCCUGGGGAGUACGACCGCAAGGUUGAAACUCAAAGGAAUUGACGGGGGCCCGCACAAGCGGUGGAGCAUGUGGUUUAAUUCGAAGCUACGCGAAGAACCUUACCAGGUCUUGACAUCUAGCGCCAAUCCUAGAGAUAGGACGUUCCCUUCGGGGACGCUAAGACAGGUGGUGCAUGGUUGUCGUCAGCUCGUGUCGUGAGAUGUUGGGUUAAGUCCCGCAACGAGCGCAACCCUUAUGAUUAGUUGCCAGCAUUUAGUUGGGCACUCUAAUCAGACUGCCGGUGACAAAC